ACCAGACACAGACAGGAGCUGACAAGAGAAAGGUGACAUGGGUACUCCAGGUUCUUGUAGCAACAUCCUUCUGCAAAGUGAGAGGAAAAGCUCUUUGACUGAUAAAAUCUGCAUCCCCUUUGGUAGGUGAGCUCAGUAAAUGUGGUAAGAUAAAUAAAAAUAAAUCAAUGUAUGUCAAGUCGGCACCUUGCCACUGCUGGCCAGGCCCUCCUGCAGAGCUGCAGGAGCCCUUCUCCUGCUGGUUUGUCUUGUUUGCACACAGGUCACCUCACACUGUGAUGUGGGACAAAGUCAUCUGCGUGCCUGGGGCUGCUGUUGGCAAAUCCAGCCUGGAGCUGGACGAAGGCCAGUGUGGGACUGGGCUGAAGUCAGACCUCUGCUUGGUUACAGGUCCAUCACCUGCUAUUUUCCUUUGGUGGUCUCACCACACUUAGGGAGAUAGAUGGGUAUAUCAGAAAAUUAUCUACACAUAAUUUGUCAUAUUUGGGCUCCAGUGACAACAGCCUCUCUGCUUUGGAAGAGCCUAGGGUUAGCAUGGUAAGGAAAAGAAAUAACUCCUUACCCUGAGGGCUUAGUUCUUCCCAUGCAGCACAGAGGGCAGCUGAAAGCCGUGUGGGGAAACUAAACUGCUGAAGCAUUUUGUGUUUAACGUGGCAUGAGAAUACGGAUGAGAUGAGUUGCUCUUCCCCACUGCCAACCCUUGAACUUAAGAUUGAAAGAAAUCCUGAUGGGAUUAUUUCAAAAAGUUCCCCUGAAGAAAGUGGAGAGGUUACAGAAACAAAAUCUAUUAUCCAUCAUCCCGUCAUUAACAAAGUGGAAGGACUGGCAGAAGAAUUGUUGGCCUAAACUUGAGACGUCAAAAAAUAGGUAAGAAAAAUAGACUGGGGAAAUAUUCCCUGGGAAGGGGAAGGGAUUGGAUGGUACUGCUAGCCCUCUUCAUCUCUCAUUUUUAGGAGUCUAUUAUGUUAUUUUGUAGAGUGAAGAGUGGUUGAAAUGAUUAAUGGACCGCAGGGCUUGACAUGCGAGCAGGCGGCCAAACGAGUGAAUGUGUGCAGAAAAGCUCAGCUUCAGAGAGGGAUUCCUGAGUGCUGCUGGCUGGGCAGGCAGGGGUGCUGCACCCUGCAAUUUAAGGAGGUGUAAUUAGCUGAAACAAAACAACAAUUAGCCAAGAAAAUCUUUCAACACAGCAUUUUAUUGUGCCUACCUAUGAUCUCUGCCAGGAGUGACAGCUCGCUCUGUGCCACUCAGCUGCAGUGCUGGCAUCCAUGGCUCACUCACUGUCUCCCAGUCCAUGGCAUCACUCAGCACAGCCCAGGCCAUGUGCUCUGCUCCCCAGUCUGGCUCUGCAGCCCCCUUUACCACAUCAUGGUAAACUAACUAACCCUCAGAAAAGCCGAAAGGUGCGCUGCAUCCCAUACUGUGUUUAAAUCCCAAGGGACCAUAGGUCAAAGGGGAAAAACAUCCCAGAUAAAAAGAAUAGGCUGGAUUAGACAGAGAAGGUGCAUAACAGUAAUUUCAGAAAGGUCUCUGCAGGUAUGAAGGCUCUGCUGACAACACCCCUGAAGAACCAGCUGGGGUGGAAGGACUCCUCCUUCACGACCAUCCCCUUCUACCUGCCAAGCCAGACUGCUGCCAAUUCAGCUGCAGACUUGGAGCAGGAAUUGAGAGCAGCAGAUGUUGCAGCCUGCUGAAAGCUUCCUGGUGCCUGAGUAUUUGAACUUCUAGAGAAGAGCUCUUGUGGAGAAGGCCACUGACUGACUGCAGGAUUGCAGCAUGCCAUAAUUUUGGAUGACUUCAGUGUUUUACUGUGAAAUUUCCUCAUGGAGGAAAAUGUAUCAGGAUCUUCCUAGCACUCUGUAAAGUCACUCAAAGUUGGUCCUGCCUCUCUGCUACCUUGUUGGAGUCUUCUUGAAGUGCUGCAGUGCUGUUGGUAGUGGCUUUGUCCUGUGCUGUUUUGGAAAAGUGAUGGGACUUUUUAUGUGUGCAGUUAGAUUUGAGUCUAUUUGAUCCCUAAGCAAAGGAGAGAGGAAAAGUUAUUGUGUGAGCAUGUUCUGUCCAGGGAGAGGGAGAGAAUAUAUAUUUUUUAAAACAGGAAAGAGAACAUUAUCUGGCUUUUUCACUUUUAUCCUGACACAAUCAUGCCCCAUAAGCCCUUAUAUAUGAAAUAAAACACAUGCAGUUUACUCUUGCUUUAGGCCC
Molecule: long non-coding RNA, 2199 nt
Organism: Cyanistes caeruleus (blue tit)
Lineage: Eukaryota; Metazoa; Chordata; Aves; Passeriformes; Paridae
Source: Ensembl